Rosa rugosa (rugosa rose) is the source of this 2022-nucleotide RNA transcript. RefSeq lists it as uncharacterized. Lineage: Eukaryota; Viridiplantae; Streptophyta; Magnoliopsida; Rosales; Rosaceae. The record is from RefSeq and is a predicted model, not a curated record. The transcript is spliced from 6 exons.
UGUUACAAAAAAAGUGAGUAUCUUUACCACAUGAGUUGUCAAUUUUGGUCUCAAAACUUGCUUUUGUUCUUCCUACUUCAAAAGUUUGAAAUGAGGUAUCAUAGGAUGUGAAAUAGUGCUUAUGAUAUUGUUUGAUAUUGGGUUUUUUUUCCUUUUCCUUUUUUUCCCCCCUUCCAAUUUUUCUACCUAAUUUAGUGAAAUUUGCUCAGAUAUGCUAUUUUAUAUGUGGGAAGAUGGUAUGCCAAGCAGUAGGAAUAUUAUAUAGUGAUAUAUAGAAACACGUACACCCGUCUACCAAACUCUCUCAAACCAUUUUGCAGAUAGGAAACUGUUUCUCUUUUCUUUUUUGGAUUACUGUAUGCUGUUGCAAUUGAUGUGUGAUAUCUGGUGUUGGAAUGUACCAUUUGAAGGUUGUUUAUUCAUUUACUCUUCAGUGGAAGGGCUAUAUUAAAACUGCAAACUAAUGGAUGCCCUGUAGACUUGCGUCUCUAAGUACUUACUCUCAUUGUAUGCCUUGAUUUUGAAAGUCACAUUUGCAGAAUUUUCUACUUUUUCUUCCUCAUUGGUUGUGCUUUUUGAUUGUUAAAGGGUCAUGUUCUGUUUCUUUAAUGUAUGUUUUUUGGUUUGGCGGCUAUGAUCUAAACACAACGUCGGGAGUUAUCCUUCAUCUUGAACUCUUGCUAUUUUUUUUUUUUGGCAACGAGGACCGGGAUUAUUGUGGUAACCCGUGAUUGAAAAGCUAGAGAAAAAUAAGAUAAGUGAAGGAGAAGGAGACUGUUAAAGUUUAGAGCUAAGAGUUUUGAUGGGAAUGGGAUUCAGAUUCCUGUGCUCUUACAGAAAUUAGUCCAAUUAUAGACCUAUAAUAACUCAGCCAGCGCUUCAGGUAUUUAUGCAAGUAAUUAUGGACCACAUUCAUUUUUGUUUGAGGCAAAUGUACUAUAUUUGGACACUGUUUUAUGUGAAUGUGACACCAAGCAAGUGAAUCCAAAAAAAGGGCAUUGAAUAUGAUCGAUUUUAGUAUUCUAUCUAUUCAUAUUAAUCGUUAAAUAUAUUUAUGAUCUCUCCCUGAUUGAAUUUGUUAUGGCAUUGUCUUCCUUCCCUGAUGUGCCCAUUGUCAUUUCUGGGUUUCAAAUAUUCUUUUCUUAAAUAUUCUGUUCGUUUGUUUUUAUUCAGACGUAUUUGAUGCUCUUUAUUUAUUUAUUUUUUUAAAAAAUUUUCCUUCUUUUGUUUCAAACAACCAAGAGUGAGUGGAAUCAUGUUCAGUUUGAAUGAAAACUUGAUUCGAGGAGUAAUCAGCCAUUGACUCUCCCUUUUGUGUUGCAUAUUCCUGAUCAUUGGUUCCAGAUCACUUUUUCCUUCGGUUUGCUCAGUUGUUCUUCUUCUACUUAAAAGGGAUAGUGGGCCGAGAAGUGACCGUGGAGCUCAAGAACGACCUUGCGAUUAGGGAUUAUUAUGGGCCAGGUUCCUUCAUCACGCUCUCACACACCUGAUGACGACCAGGGACCUAACCGUAUUCAUGUAAAAGAGGCAGAAAGGCAGAGUAGAAAUAAUCCCCUGGGAGAGACGAGACAAUCAAUGAGUUCUUCACAAUCUGUUUUAUCACACUCUUCCCGACCCAACGAAGACCGGGGACACGCUCAGCUUCAUGCAUUGGAGGCUGAAAGGCAGCGUAGAAAUAAUCGUCAAAGAGAGAGACGACGAUUAUUGAGUUCUUCGCAACAAGAGGAAAGUUUAGCCCGAAGACGUGCCAAUUAUCAAAGACAACAGCAAAUAGAGGCCACAAGUGUAUCAAAUCAAGUGGAAGCAAUGGCCGGUAACUUACUGAGUGCAUGUUCUGAAACACAAACAUCUUCAACGUAUUGUAUACGUGUUUUGCACAAUUUUCUUUCUACUUUCAUGAACAAAAAUAUUAUUCUAUAUAUGUAGGUUGGAAAAAUUAACAGUUUUGAUAGAAAUAUUGUUUUUUUUUUUCAAGAAGAAUUUUUUUUUUUUUGUAAUACUUUAAAGAAGAAUUUUAGGAAC